AACGAACGCUGGCGGCAUGCCUAACACAUGCAAGUCGAACGAGACCUUCGGGUCUAGUGGCGCACGGGUGCGUAACGCGUGGGAACCUGCCCUUAGGUUCGGAAUAACUCCCCGAAAGGGGUGCUAAUACCGGAUAAUGUCUUCGGACCAAAGAUUUAUCGCCUUUGGAUGGGCCCGCGUUGGAUUAGCUAGUUGGUAGGGUAAAAGCCUACCAAGGCGACGAUCCAUAGCUGGUCUGAGAGGAUGACCAGCCACACUGGGACUGAGACACGGCCCAGGCUCCUACGGGAGGCAGCAGUGGGGAAUAUUGGACAAUGGGCGAAAGCCUGAUCCAGCAAUGCCGCGUGAGUGAUGAAGGCCUUAGGGUUGUAAAGCUCUUUUACCCGGGAUGAUAAUGACAGUACCGGGAGAAUAAGCUCCGGCUAACUCCGUG
RNAcentral lists this ribosomal RNA (433 nucleotides) under uncultured bacterium. Its description in RNAcentral is "partial 16S ribosomal RNA". It matches the Rfam family "Bacterial small subunit ribosomal RNA", at positions 29 to 507 of the family's 1533-position model. The record is from RNAcentral.